UUGAAAGGGAAACGAUUGAAGUCAGUCGUGCUGGCGCGAAAUCAACCUUCUCGUCUUGAGAUCACAUGGCGUGGCGAGCCUCAAAACCGUCACGAAGCGUGAACUCUUGGUGAAAUGGAGCACUUUCGUGUCCGCUGGUUAACAUCAAUUUCGAACGUCAUAAAAAGGCUGGAGGGAUGUGGCUCCUUCGGGAGUGUUAUAACCUUUGGCGGAAUGUGGUGUUUGGGAUUGAGGAUUGCAACGAAUACCCUUUGGGCUAUCCGUCUGGCCUCUGAAAGUUGCUUGGGUGCUGAAAGCUUGCUUAUGGUUAUCUAAGUUAACGGUCAAUAGGUUAGAACGUGAUUACAUUCGUUAAGGAUGUUGACGUA
This 368-nucleotide ribosomal RNA is filed under the name uncultured Glomus. RNAcentral's name for it is "LSU rRNA". Lineage: Eukaryota; Fungi; Glomeromycota; Glomeromycetes; Glomerales; Glomeraceae. The record is from RNAcentral.